RNAcentral lists this ribosomal RNA (326 nucleotides) under uncultured eukaryote. RNAcentral's name for it is "partial 18S ribosomal RNA". It matches the Rfam family "Eukaryotic small subunit ribosomal RNA", at positions 1470 to 1796 of the family's 1831-position model. The record is from RNAcentral.
CCCUUAGAUGUUCUGGGCCGCACGCGCGCUACACUGAUGCAUUCAACGAGUCCAACCUUGACCGAGAGGUCCGGGUAAUCUUUGAAACUGCAUCGUGAUGGGGCUAGAUUAUUGCAAUUAUUAAUCUUCAACGAGGAAUGCCUAGUAAGCGUGAUUCAUCAAAUCGCGUUGAUUACGUCCCUGCCCUUUGUACACACCGCCCGUCGCUCCUACCGAUUGAGUGUGUUGGUGAGGAGUUUGGAUUGGCCUCGGAAGGUGGUUCGCCACCGUCCGUAGCUGAGAAGUUCUCCAAACCGCCCCACUUGGAGGAAGGAGAAGUCGUANCA